RNAcentral lists this ribosomal RNA (897 nucleotides) under uncultured bacterium. RNAcentral describes it as "bacterial SSU rRNA". It matches the Rfam family "Bacterial small subunit ribosomal RNA", at positions 8 to 916 of the family's 1533-position model. The record is from RNAcentral.
AGAGUUUGAUCAUGGCUCAGGAUGAACGCUGGCGGCGUGCUUAACACAUGCAAGUCGAACGAGGUCCAUGGAGCUUGCUCCGGAAGAUCUAGUGGCGAACGGGUGCGUAACACGUGAGAAACCUGCCCCGAUCUCUGGGAUAACAGUUGGAAACGACUGCUAAUACCGGAUGCCGUCACACCGCUUCAUGGCGGAGUGCCGAAAGAUUUAUCGGAUUGGGAGGGUCUCGCGGCCUAUCAGCUAGUUGGAGAGGUAACGGCUCACCAAGGCAUCGACGGGUAGCUGGUCUGAGAGGAUGAUCAGCCACACUGGGACUGAGACACGGCCCAGACUCCUACGGGAGGCAGCAGUGGGGAAUCUUGCACAAUGGGCGAAAGCCUGAUGCAGCAACGCCGCGUGCGGGACGAAGGCCCUAGGGUUGUAAACCGCUUUCAGUAGGGAAGAAAAUGACGGUACCUACAGAAGAAGGUGCGGCCAACUACGUGCCAGCAGCCGCGGUGACACGUAGGCACCAAGCGUUAUCCGGAUUUAUUGGGCGUAAAGAGCUCGUAGGCGGUUUGGUAAGUCGGGUGUGAAAACUCUGGGCUCAACCCAGAGAGGCCACCCGAUACUGCUAUGACUAGAGUACGGUAGGGGAGCGGGGAAUUCAUGGUGUAGCGGUGAAAUGCGCAGAUAUCAUGAGGAACACCAGCGGCGAAGGCGCCGCUCUGGGCCGUAACUGACGCUGAGGAGCGAAAGCAUGGGUAGCAAACAGGAUUAGAUACCCUGGUAGUCCAUGCCGUAAACGUUGGGCACUAGGUGUGGGUCUCAACCAACGAGAUCCGCGCCGUCGCUAACGCAUUAAGUGCCCCGCCUGGGGAGUACGGUCGCAAGACUAAAACUCAAAGGAAUUGACGG